Ipomoea nil (Japanese morning glory) is the source of this 99-nucleotide long non-coding RNA. RefSeq lists it as uncharacterized. The record is from RefSeq and is a predicted model, not a curated record. The transcript has 3 exons. NCBI's taxonomy places the organism in Eukaryota, Viridiplantae, Streptophyta, Magnoliopsida, Solanales, Convolvulaceae.
UCAUACAACUUUGUAAAGACUAAAGGUAAAGAAACUAAUUAUAACAAAUAGUCAUAGUAAUGUAUCUAUUGGCUAAUUACAAUUCUUUUUGCAGUUGAA